This 253-nucleotide ribosomal RNA is filed under the name uncultured bacterium. RNAcentral's name for it is "partial 16S ribosomal RNA". It matches the Rfam family "Bacterial small subunit ribosomal RNA", at positions 524 to 776 of the family's 1533-position model. The record is from RNAcentral.
UACGAGGGGGGCAAGUGUUGUUCGGAAUCACUGGGCGUAAAGGGAGCGUAGGCGGAUGUUUAAGUCGGGUGUUUAAAACCGGGGCCCAACCCCGGAGCGGCACCCGAAACUGGGCAUCUUGAAUAGGUCAGAGGCUGGUGGAAUUGGAGGUGUAGCGGUGGAAUGCGUAGAGAUCUCCAAGAACACCUAUUACGAAGGCAGCCAGCUGGGACCAUAUUGACGCUGAGGCUCGAAAGCAUGGGGAGCAAACAGG